Drosophila subpulchrella is the source of this 1400-nucleotide RNA transcript. It is a transcript of the gene named aquaporin AQPAn.G, with no coding region annotated. NCBI's taxonomy places the organism in Eukaryota, Metazoa, Arthropoda, Insecta, Diptera, Drosophilidae. The record is from RefSeq and is a predicted model, not a curated record. The transcript is spliced from 6 exons.
CGGUCGCGCAGUUUUUGUCGUCGAGUCAAAGUGCGCGGAUCGCUCGAGGAGCUCAUAUUCCUGCCAAAUAAAAUUAAAUAUUUGUUAAGUGCAUGUUUAGGUGUUAGUUGUUGUUGUCGCAGAUCCAAGUUCGUAAGCAGGUGCAAAGGUGCAAAAGUGAGCUAAUAACUAAGCAAGUUCACCAGUUUUAGUUGAAAGGCAAAGCGAAGAAGAUGGGAAAGUUCGAGUACUCUUUGGGUCUCAAUGAGCUCAAGUCCAAGGAGCUGCGAUUGUGGCAGGCCCUGAUUGGAGAAUUCCUGGGUAACCUGAUCCUCAAUUUCUUUGCCUGCGGUGCAUGCACUCAAAUUGAGGAUGGUACCUUCAAGGCCCUGGCUUUUGGCCUGGCCAUCUUCAUGGCCAUCACGAUUGUGGGUCACUUGAGUGGUGGCCAUGUAAAUCCUGCCGUUACCGCUGGAAUGCUGGUUGCAGGACGAAUCAGCUUGAUCAGGGCCGUUUUCUAUGUUAUCUUCCAGUGCCUGGGUGCCAUCGCUGGAACUGCAGCUGUUAAGAUCCUCAUCGAUCGCGACUAUUAUAAUGGCUUGGGUCACACCUCGCUGGCCCAAAAUAUCACAGAACUGCAGGGCGUGGGAAUUGAGUUCUUCCUGGGACUUUUGCUGGUUCUCGUUGUGUUUGGAGCCUGCGAUCCCCACAAGCCCGACUCCCGCUACACGGCGCCCCUGGCCAUUGGAAUGGCGGUGACCCUGGGUCACCUGGGCACCAUUCGGUACACCGGGGCUAGUAUGAAUCCCGCCCGCACGGUGGGCACUGCCUUUGCCACCGACAACUGGACAUCGCAUUGGGUGUACUGGGUGGGACCUGUGCUGGGGGGCGUGGCUGCCGCCCUGCUCUACACCCAGGUCCUGGAGGCGAAACCCGCCCCAAAGACGAACGAGGCUUCCGAGAAGUACCGAACGCACGCCGAUGAACGCGAGGUGAGAGUCAGGUUGAUAAGCGCCUGGAGCGAGGAGUCCUUCUACUGAUCAGUGAUCACACCCACACUCAUUCCACACCCACUUAUCACACACAAACUCACUCACUCACACACACAUUGCAUUAUGCGCAAAUUGGAGGGAGCACGCGACUAUGCCUAAAAUUAAGGGAUCUUAGGCGACUCGAAUCUAGAGAUAGAGAGAGAAAAGCAGCCGAGGAGAACAGAUUACUUUGUAUCCAUUCAUUUCAGUGUCUAUCAUAAUUAUUUCGUGUACUCCUUCGUUCGUGUGUAUUUAUGUAUUUAUUCAUGAAAAUUCAUUUCUUAAUUAACUAAUAUUUAAAUGUGUAAGCUGCCCUAAAAUGCAAUCUACAAAAAAAAAAUACUUGUAUUCUCAUGCGUUCACAAUAAAGUGGAAAACAUUAACUGAAAA